GAUGAACGCUGGCGGCGUGCCUAAUACAUGCAAGUCGAACGCAUUGUGGUUGAAAUGAUAUGAAGAACUUGUUCAGAUUUGAUUUUCAACAUUGCAAUGAGUGGCGAACGGGUGAGUAACACGUGGGAAACCUACCUCUUAGCAGGGGAUAACAUUUGGAAACAAAUGCUAAUACCGUAUAAUAAUUAAAACCGCAUGGUUUUAGUUUAAAAGAUGGUCUUGCUAUCACUAAGAGAUGGUCCCGCGGUGUAUUAGUUAGUUGGUGAGGUAAUGGCUCACCAAGACAAUGAUACAUAGCCGAGUUGAGAGACUGACCGGCCACAAUGGGACUGAGACACGGCCCAUACUCCUACGGGAGGCAGCAGUAGGGAAUCUUCCACAAUGGACGAAAGUCUGAUGGAGCAACGCCGCGUGUGUGAUGAAGGGUUUCGGCUCGUAAAACACCGUUGUAAGAGAAGAAUGACGUUGAGAGUAACUGUUCAAUGUGUGACGGUAUUUA
RNAcentral lists this ribosomal RNA (499 nucleotides) under uncultured bacterium. RNAcentral describes it as "bacterial SSU rRNA". It matches the Rfam family "Bacterial small subunit ribosomal RNA", at positions 28 to 481 of the family's 1533-position model. The record is from RNAcentral.